UACGAAGGGGGCUAGCGUUGUUCGGAAUUACUGGGCGUAAAGCGCACGUAGGCGGACGCUUAAGUCAGGGGUGAAAUCCCGGGGCUCAACCCCGGAACUGCCUUUGAUACUGGGUGUCUGGAGGGCGAGAGAGGUGAGUGGAAUUCCGAGUGUAGAGGUGAAAUUCGUAGAUAUUCGGAGGAACACCAGUGGCGAAGGCGGCUCACUGGCUCGAUACUGACGCUGAGGUGCGAAAGCGUGGGGAGCAAACAGG
RNAcentral lists this ribosomal RNA (253 nucleotides) under uncultured bacterium. Its description in RNAcentral is "partial 16S ribosomal RNA". It matches the Rfam family "Bacterial small subunit ribosomal RNA", at positions 524 to 776 of the family's 1533-position model. The record is from RNAcentral.